UGCCUGCUCUCAGAGGAAUUUUCUGCGCUUCCAGUCGCUCUCGCUGGGUGGAUUGCCAGAUGCUUGAGCGUUCUGCAGAGCUGCACAUGAAUGCCAGGGAGUGUCAAGGUGAAACUGCCAGUCAUGACUCAGUGAUGACAACGAGAGAUUAUCUUGGCUUAACCUAAGACAGAAUGGCGGAAUGUAAUACACGGAUAGUUCCUCACUACGUUGUUCAGUGUAUGAAAAGUGCCGUUUGCUGAUCUCUCAAGGCUGAGUAGAAAAUCCCCCAUUUAACUUGAUGCCUGGAAUCAGUGCCUAGUUUUGACACUAGAUACCUGCUGUGAUUGAUGCCUGUAAGCGCAGAAGUCACUGCAGUGUAUAUGGAAGGUGCCAGGGGUCCUGAGCAAUAUCAUCAGACUUCUCACUUGUUGACAGCAUUUGGAGAGUGCAUAGUAUAUCUUUACACAAUUUUGAAUUUUGGAAAGAUCUUAGAAGUAGGACUCAAUCAGAUAAUCUUUUCUGCCAGUCAUAUUGAUGAAUGCACUGCCAUAAUGAACAAAAUGUGAAAUGUCAAAACAGCAUGUAGAUUUUAUAUUAAGCACUCUCCUUGCCAGCCAAAAUGUUAUACUUCCCUGAAUAAUGAUGAUGAUGAUGGUAUGAUAAUAGCAACAAUAUUAAUGGUAAAAUAAUAGUAAUAGCUAACAUUUUACUAGGCAUUCUAUAUGACAUAUAUCUUGUAAGAUCCCAACUCUUUAAUUUAUGAUUAAUAUUUCCUUUUUACUGAUGAGAAAACUAUGCCCAAGUAUGACUUUUCCAAGGACAAGCAGCUAGCAAACAUUUAUCAAAGUCUAGAAAGCCAGGCUUAAGUAGCCUUGUUCUACUAUUCUAGACCACACCCCAUUCUACUAUUCUAGACCACACCCCAUAGUCUAGGCGUACCCUCCUGGGGGUAGCACAAGCUAUUUUCUCUGCUGGUUAAUCUCUUCUUUCACCUCCCUUCACCUUUCAUUCCCACCAGCAAUUUAAACACUACGUCUAAUAGGCAUCUCAAGUUUCCAUAGACUGGGUUACCUGUUCCAUUUAUAUAUCUGUUAACUUUUCUGAGCUUCUCUGCAAGAUAUAAAUUCCUUGAGAGCAGAGGUUGUGGCACCAUUGUAAAUUCUGUGCAUAAUAAGUAUUUGGUGAAUAAAUUAUUAUCAUGGGUUUAUGAUGGCAGCUGUUACUUAGUAAAUCCUAGCCAUGAUCCAGGUAGUUAACAUACUCAUCUCUAAUCCUCAUAAUAGUUCUGGAAGGAAAGUAUACUAUAAAAUUAUUUUUAUUACUAUUACUGCUACUACACCUAUUGUUAUUAUUGACAUUUACAAAUGAGAGAGUAGAAGCUCAGAGAGUUUAAGUAGCUAGUUCUCACUCACAAUGCUAAUAAUUGGCAAAAUUAAGACAAAUUUUUUAACUGUACUUGGUCCCCGGUGGAAGUAGCUUUUGGAUUUGACAUAUUAAUGUCAAGUGAUUAAGCCAUGAUGCCCUUUAAUUUUGCUUGAGUUGCUUCUGUUGCCAUCCAUCUUUUUCAGUCCUAAGUUGGUGCUAUUGGGAAAGAAAAAGUUUAAUCUUUCAUGUCCUCCUGGAGUCUCCUAUUUUGCAUAGCUGUUUUGACUCUGCUGUCUCUAUUGAAUCUCUCUCUCUCUUCCUAAAGUUCAAGAACAGGGGCAGGUGCCCAUGUGCCCACUCCAUUCAGGAGUGGCCCUUGGCCACCUCAUUUCUCGGUGACUUUUGUUGUGCUCAUCUGUUCAGGAAGCCUGGCUUUAAAAUCAUUCAUUUGCUGGUUAAUUGCAUUCUCAGAUUCUCUAAGAAGGCUGGCGCACCUGCUCUCCACUUCACAGUCUCUUUUGAUCUCUCUAGAAAUAUCCAACUUUGAUUAUGUGAAAAUCUUCUGUAACUGUAUUACGUGCCUAGAAAGCAACUGAAAACCUUCAUUGUGACUAUUUUGACCUGAAAGAGAGGCUAUUUUAGGGUUCGCGCGUAGUGACUACAGGGAAAAAAACAGACCUUCUUGUCUCUGUGUGUCAUCCAGUCCAGGAGGUAGGAUUUCAUUCAUCUGAUGCUUGGCAGAUGUUAAACAGAUGUGAGUUGCACAGUUAACACACUUUCAAAUACAAUUUUUAAAAUACGGUUCUACUAUUAAAUUUCUGUUUUCUAAGCAAUCAUGUACUAUUGCUGGGAAAUUAAGGGGAGAAAACAGAAAUAUGACCUAAUUUCUAAAUAAAUGUUAAAGGGGAGAAACAAAACAAAACAAAUGAAAAUAGAAAAAAAUGUAUCAUCAUAAACUAAUCAACAUCAUCUUCAGAAUAUUCACCACA
This is a long non-coding RNA of Diceros bicornis minor, 2336 nucleotides long. RefSeq lists it as uncharacterized. The transcript is spliced from 3 exons. Lineage: Eukaryota; Metazoa; Chordata; Mammalia; Perissodactyla; Rhinocerotidae. The record is from RefSeq and is a predicted model, not a curated record.